AUUGAACGCUGGCGGCAUGCUUUACACAUGCAAGUCGAACGGCAGCACGGGUGCUUGCACCUGGUGGCGAGUGGCGGACGGGUGAGUAAUACAUCGGAACGUGUCCUGAAGUGGGGGAUAACGCAUCGAAAGAUGUGCUAAUACCGCAUAUACUCUGAGGAGUAAAGUAGGGGAUCGAAAGACCUUAUGCUUUUGGAGCGGCCGAUGUCUGAUUAGCUAGUUGGUGGGGUAAUUGCCCACCAAGGCGACGAUCAGUAGUUGGUCUGAGAGGACGACCAGCCACACUGGGACUGAGACACGGUCCAGACUCCUACGGGAGGCAGCAGUGGGGAAUUUUGGACAAUGGGGGAAACCCUGAUCCAGCCAUUCCGCGUGAGUGAAGAAGGCC
RNAcentral lists this ribosomal RNA (388 nucleotides) under uncultured bacterium. Its description in RNAcentral is "bacterial SSU rRNA". It matches the Rfam family "Bacterial small subunit ribosomal RNA", at positions 30 to 416 of the family's 1533-position model. The record is from RNAcentral.